GGCUGGUCCGAUGGUAGUGGGUUAUCAGAACUCAUUAACAUUACUGUCACUAAAGUUGGCAUACGACCCCCCACUGCUAAGUUUGACUGGCUUUAA
This 96-nucleotide Y RNA is filed under the name Propithecus coquereli (Coquerel's sifaka). RNAcentral's name for it is "Y RNA (ENSPCOG00000001778.1)". It matches the Rfam family "Y RNA". From Rfam's summary of the family: Y RNAs are components of the Ro ribonucleoprotein particle (Ro RNP), in association with Ro60 and La proteins. The Y RNAs and Ro60 and La proteins are well conserved, but the function of the Ro RNP is not known. The record is from Rfam by way of RNAcentral. Lineage: Eukaryota; Metazoa; Chordata; Mammalia; Primates; Indriidae.